AAAUAGUUAUGCCGGAUACAGGUGGUGCAUGGUUGUCGUCAGCUCGUGUCGUGAGAUGUUGGGUUAAGUCCCGCAACGAGCGCAACCCUUGUCAUUAGUUGCUACAUUUAGUUGGGCACUCUAAUGAGACUGCCGGUGACAAACCGGAGGAAGGUGGGGAUGACGUCAAGUCCUCAUGGCCCUUAUAGGUAGGGCUACACACGCCAUACAAUGGAUGGUACAAAGGGUCGCCUACCCGCGAGGGGGAGCCAAUCCCAUAAACCAUUCGUAGUCCGGAUCGCAGUCUGCAACUCGACUGCGUGAAGUCGGAAUCGCUAGUAAUCGUGGAUCAGAAUGUCACGGUGAAUACGUUCCCGGGUCUU
This 362-nucleotide ribosomal RNA is filed under the name uncultured Polaromonas sp. Its description in RNAcentral is "bacterial SSU rRNA". It matches the Rfam family "Bacterial small subunit ribosomal RNA", at positions 1017 to 1382 of the family's 1533-position model. Lineage: Bacteria; Pseudomonadati; Pseudomonadota; Betaproteobacteria; Burkholderiales; Comamonadaceae. The record is from RNAcentral.